Molecule: non-coding RNA, 22 nt
Filed under: Arabidopsis thaliana (thale cress)
Lineage: Eukaryota; Viridiplantae; Streptophyta; Magnoliopsida; Brassicales; Brassicaceae
Source: RNAcentral
CAGCUCUGCCUGUGGCGGACCA